GUGAAGCACAAAAUGUAUCAUUUACUGAAAUUUCAUUGAACAAUGAAGAUGGAUGUUCGAUACACUUUCCUGUUAUAUCUGAUUGUACAGAUGCGAAUAUGUGCAUAACUGCGAAACCACUUGGAACAAAUGCAAAAAAGAUUAUUCGCGAUAGCAAUAAAAAAAAUGCAGUAAAACCUGUAAACAUUACAAGUAACAUGCAAAAAAAUAUAACUCAGUAUUCUAAGGAUGAUACAAUUAAGGAAAAUAUUCGUUAUAUUGAUGAACCUGGAAUGAUAUUGCAUUCAAACGACAAGUCUUACGUCAAUUAAAUAUUAUUAAUUUAAAACAAUCGCAAAUAUGUGAAGAUAUCCAAAUUUUAAG
Molecule: non-coding RNA, 363 nt
Organism: Nylanderia fulva
Lineage: Eukaryota; Metazoa; Arthropoda; Insecta; Hymenoptera; Formicidae
Source: RefSeq, a predicted model, not a curated record